Molecule: ribosomal RNA, 460 nt
Filed under: uncultured bacterium
Lineage: Bacteria
Description: partial 16S ribosomal RNA
Rfam family: Bacterial small subunit ribosomal RNA
Source: RNAcentral
CCUACGGGUGGCAGCAGUGAGGAAUAUUGGUCAAUGGACGAGAGUCUGAACCAGCCAAGUAGCGUGAAGGAUGACGGCUCUAUGUGUUGUAAACUUCUUCUAUAAGGGAAUAAAACGAGGCACGUGUGCCUUUUUCCCUGUAUUUCAUGAUUACGGAUCGGCUAAUUCUGUGUCAGCAGCCGCUGUAAUACGGAGUAUCUGGGCGUUAUCCGGAUUGAGUGGGUUUAAAGGGAGCGUAGAUGGGUUAGUAAGUCAGUAGUGAAAGUUUGCGGCUCAACCGGAAAAUUGCAAUUGAUACUGCCAGUCUUGAGUACAGUUGAGGUAGGCGGAAUUCGUAGUGUAGCGGUGAAAUGCUUAGAUAUCACGAAGAACACCGAUUGCGAAGGCAGCUUACUAAACUGUGACUGACAUUGAUGCUCGAAAGUGUGGGUAUCAAACAGGAUUAGAUACCCGUGUAGUC